CACCGAACCAUUCACAUUUGAAACAAAAAUGCAGAUGAAUCAGCACUGAUUCCUGUCUACUGGUAAUCAAGAAACAGAUGAGAGAAACUUACCACUUUCCAACCAUCUGGGUCCAGGAAAGAAGUUAUUUUGGUGUUGAUUCCUGGAAUUGGUCCUGGUUGCCUGGUGAUUUUUCCUCCUAGCUCUUUUGUAACCAAAUCAACAACAGCAGCACUUCUAUAAACAUCUUCAGUACUAAUAGCAACCUACAAAAACAUAUAACAGAUGCUAGUAAUUUAAUCCUUAACAGAAUCAGAUUAGAAAAAGAUAUGAAUAGAACCUGAGCAUAUGCAUUGCCUUUCGUGUACUCCGUCACACCAUAAUUGUAUGUCAACUCAAUAACUGUUGAUUCAAUUUCUUCAGCGUAACCCAUCAUGGCAACAGUAUACUGUAGAAAUCAUGUGACAAAAAAACAUACUAAGCAUGAAAAUAUGCAUAACUUCAAAUAGAAUGGGCACAGUUAAAUACAAAAACAUAUACCUUAGAUAUGCAUAGGUAUUCAUGUCAUACAUUGUAUACCUAAAUAAAGUAGCAUGAGCAUAGCUGACUUGAAGUAUAUAUACCUUUCAUGCUGCAUAGUUAUUCAUGUAUCCUUGUCAUACACAGCUAUGCACAGUCACAUAAAUAUCAUGAAUAUAGAUAAAUACAAAAUUACAUACCUUUGAUGCUACAUAUUCAUGUAUUCAUGUCAGACAUACAUAUACAUAUAUAUAUAUAUACACACAUAUAUAUAUAUAUACACACAUAUAUAUAUACACAUAUAUAUAUAUACACACACAUAUAUAUAUAUAUAUAUAUAUAUACAUAUAUAUAUAUAUAAAGAUUUGAUAUUAAUAAUUUACCAAAAACCAGGUUCUAACAAACGUGACAUGUAAGACCAAAAAGAAAACUCAACAAUAGUUAUGUGCAGCAGGAAUCAAUACACAUGUUAUGAACUGCUGCUGGAUGAUGUGUGUGUAGAGACAAAUAUAUUUAUGCAUGUAAGUGUCAAACUAUGUUCACAUAAAUACAUGCAUGCUUGCAACUAAGACUCUGGAAAAGAUUAUGACUUAUGUGACAUCAUUAGACUUAUCAUUAAAUCCAUAACCAUCAGAUUGGUGCUAGAAAAUGUAACCUUGUAGUCAGGAAUGUCUAUUGACCUCAAUAACUUCAUCCCACAAGCCUGCAUUAAAUGAAAAUUACAGAAAAGUGAAAAAGACAGUGACGAGAAUAAAAGGAAAAUCUCAUAUAUUUGCUCAUAGAAUACUAGCAAGGAAACAAAUUGAUAUUCUAUAGCUCAUCUCAGAUCAUAACCCUCUAAAAAUCAAGGUUAUUAUAUAGUCCAAUAAUAAAACUGGAGACUUUUUGGUAUGACUAACUUCUAAAAAAUAAAACAAAACAAAAUUUAAAACUUGUAUAGACAGGUAGCCUCAAAGUAUUAAAAAAAGAAGAAAAUUUCCAUCUAUGCUAGCAUAAUGUAGGAUAUGCAUAUACUAUGGUAAAAGAAUAAGUUCCUUGGUGCUACAACUAAACCUUCUCCUACAAUUUAUAAAGACAAUUAAAGAUACUUUUAAACAUAUAAUUAUGAAAAUGCAAGUAUUUCAACCAUGCUAUUCACGAAAAAGAUCAAGAUUAACUUAGAAAGGACAUUCUUGGAUUUAAACAAUUAGUAAACCAAAUGGUAUUGGAAAAUACCUUCUCGUAAAACUUGAUGGACCUUUCCAAGUCACCUACGCGAAGCAUAAUUUGGCAAAGAGGCUCAGGUGUGGGGCCUCUUUGAAUAAGCUCAAAUGUAUAACCAUCAGGGUCUUGAACAAAAGCUAGAACUGUUGUCCCCC
This 1856-nucleotide long non-coding RNA is filed under the name Musa acuminata (dwarf banana). Its description in RNAcentral is "long non-coding RNA (MACU_LNC003255)". Lineage: Eukaryota; Viridiplantae; Streptophyta; Magnoliopsida; Zingiberales; Musaceae. The record is from RNAcentral.